GAAGUAGAUAGCUUGCUAUUUACUGAGUGGGUCGCGAACGGGUGAGUAACGCGUAGGUAACCUACCUUUUAGCGGGGGAUAACUAUUGGAAACGAUAGCUAAUACCGCAUAAUAUUCUAUAUUUCAUGAUAGAGGAUUGAAAGAUGCAACUGCAUCACUAAGAGAUGGACCUGCGUUGUAUUAGCUAGUUGGUGAGGUAACGGCUCACCAAGGCAACGAUACAUAGCCGACCUGAGAGGGUGAUCGGCCACACUGGGACUGAGACACGGCCCAGACUCCUACGGGAGGCAGCAGUAGGGAAUCUUCGGCAAUGGGGGGAACCCUGACCGAGCAACGCCGCGUGAGUGAAGAAGGUUUUCGGAUCGUAAAGCUCUGUUGUAAGAGAAGAACGAGUGUGAGAGUGGAAAGUUCACACUGUGACGGUAUCUUACCAGAAAGGGACGGCUAACUACGUGCCAGCAGCCGCGGUAAUACGUAGGUCCCGAGCGUUGUCCGGAUUUAUUGGGCGUAAAGCGAGCGCAGGCGGUUUGAUAAGUCUGAAGUUAAAGGCUGUGGCUCAACCAUAGUUCGCUUUGGAAACUGUCAAACUUGAGUGCAGAAGGGGAGAGUGGAAUUCCAUGUGUAGCGGUGAAAUGCGUAGAUAUAUGGAGGAACACCGGUGGCGAAAGCGGCUCUCUGGUCUGUAACUGACGCUGAGGCUCGAAAGCGUGGGGAGCAAACAGGAUUAGAUACCCUGGUAGUCCACGCCGUAAACGAUGAGUGCUAGGUGUUAGGCCCUUUCCGGGGCUUAGUGCCGCAGCU
Molecule: ribosomal RNA, 801 nt
Filed under: uncultured bacterium
Lineage: Bacteria
Description: SSU rRNA
Rfam family: Bacterial small subunit ribosomal RNA
Source: RNAcentral